AGCGAACGCUGGCGGCAGGCCUAACACAUGCAAGUCGAACGAACCUUUCGGGGUUAGUGGCGGACGGGUAAGUAACACGUGGGAACGUGCCUUUAGGUUCGGAAUAACUCAGGGAAACUUGUGCUAAUACCGAAUGUGCCCUUCGGGGGAAAGAUUAAUCGCCUUUAGAGCGGCCCGCGUCUGAUUAGCUAGUUGGUUGAGGUAAUGGCUCACCAAGGCGACGAUCAGUAGCUGGUCUGAGAGGAUGAUCAGCCACAUUGGGACUGGGACACGGCCCAAACUCCUACGGGAGGCAGCAGUGGGGAAUCUUGCGCAAUGGGCGAAAGCCUGACGCAGCCAUGCCGCGUGAAUGAUGAAGGUCUUAGGAUUGUAAAAUUCUUUCACCGGGGACGAUAAUGACGGUACCCGGAGAAGAAGCCCCGGCUAACUUCGUG
Molecule: ribosomal RNA, 434 nt
Filed under: uncultured bacterium
Lineage: Bacteria
Description: partial 16S ribosomal RNA
Rfam family: Bacterial small subunit ribosomal RNA
Source: RNAcentral